This 24-nucleotide microRNA is filed under the name Petromyzon marinus (sea lamprey). RNAcentral's name for it is "pma-miR-19c". Its record names the gene pma-miR-19c. Lineage: Eukaryota; Metazoa; Chordata; Hyperoartia; Petromyzontiformes; Petromyzontidae. The record is from miRBase by way of RNAcentral.
UGUGCAAAUCCCCUGCAAAACUGA